RNAcentral lists this ribosomal RNA (436 nucleotides) under uncultured bacterium. Its description in RNAcentral is "bacterial SSU rRNA". It matches the Rfam family "Bacterial small subunit ribosomal RNA", at positions 29 to 507 of the family's 1533-position model. The record is from RNAcentral.
AACGAACGCUGGCGGCAGGCUUAACACAUGCAAGUCGAACGCUCGUAGCAAUACGGGAGUGGCGGACGGGUGAGUAACGCGUGGGAACGUGCCCUGAGGUACGGAAUAACUGCGGGAAACUGCAGCUAAUACCGUAUGAGCCCCGUGAGGGGGAAAGAUUUAUCGCCUUAGGAGCGGCCCGCGUCGGAUUAGCUAGUUGGUGGGGUAACGGCUUACCAAGGCUUCGAUCCGUAGCUGGUCUGAGAGGACGAUCAGCCACACUGGGACUGAGACACGGCCCAGACUCCUACGGGAGGCAGCAGUGGGGAAUCUUGCGCAAUGGGGGCAACCCUGACGCAGCCAUGCCGCGUGAAUGAUGAAGGCCUUAGGGUUGUAAAGUUCUUUUGCCCGUGACGAUGAUGACGGUAACGGAGAAUAAGCUCCGGCUAACUUCGUG